CCCUGCUGUGACUCACUGCUGGGCUCAGAGCCACUGGAAACAUUUCUCUUGUGAAUUUGGAGAUAAGGAGCAGCUGGCUGAGGGAGGAGCGCCCCAGUAUCUGUAUUGAUGGAGAAGAAACCCGGCUGGGUCCAUGGGGACCCACAGCUGCCACCAUCAAAGCCUCAGCCAGCACAGGCCGGAGCAAGGAGUACCUUUACAGGUAUAAAGUGCUGGAGUCGGCGUUAAGAUCACCGUGUCACUGAUGGGAAAUGGAGCCUGCGUGGAGUGAAAUGACUUGCUCAUAGUGACACAGGACUGGGCCAGGAACCCUGCUGUCCUGCCUGGAGUCCAUGUCCCAUGCCCUGGA
RNAcentral lists this long non-coding RNA (349 nucleotides) under Pongo abelii (Sumatran orangutan). Its description in RNAcentral is "lncRNA (ENSPPYG00000035195.1)". The record is from RNAcentral. Lineage: Eukaryota; Metazoa; Chordata; Mammalia; Primates; Hominidae.